Molecule: non-coding RNA, 28 nt
Filed under: Mus musculus (house mouse)
Lineage: Eukaryota; Metazoa; Chordata; Mammalia; Rodentia; Muridae
Source: RNAcentral
GACCUAUGACCUCCACUGAGACCUCAAC